This 8316-nucleotide long non-coding RNA is filed under the name Amborella trichopoda. RNAcentral's name for it is "long non-coding RNA (ATRI_LNC005114)". The record is from RNAcentral. Lineage: Eukaryota; Viridiplantae; Streptophyta; Magnoliopsida; Amborellales; Amborellaceae.
AAAUGGAUUUCAAGUUUUGGAAAUAAUUCAUUUUGUAAUGACUUUCAAUUUUCUAUAUUUUCAAGGUUUCAUAGAUCUGUUCGAUCUACACUAUUUUUGAAGCUUCAAAUUUAAUAAUUAAAAAUAAAAAUAAAUUUAAAAAUUAUCACAAAAACUUUUAGUAAUGAAAUUACAUUCAUCGAUACUAUUUGAAAGUUUGCAUUACUUUUAAUUUUUAGAAACUCGAUCUUACACAAACUGCACCCAUAACAUUUUCCCCUAUAAAAUUUAGCUUGGACAUGACUUUUAGGUAAAUGGGAUUUGUACCAGUCUCAUGACCUGGCCCAGCACCCAAGCCGUUCAUCUUUAAAUAUUUUUUUGGGUAAUUCAGGGAAGAUAAGCCCUACCCCAUUUUUCACGUAAAUUAGGAGCUAGCUAGGGGUGGUCUCCCCAUUUUUCACGUAAAUUAGGAGCUAGCUAAGGGUGGUCUUUGGGCGUAGGGUGCUACCACCGGUCCUUUCACAUUCUGUCUGAAAUCCUGGCGUGCAACCAUGCUCCGUCCCUCGAUUUCUUGCCUGCUGCGAUGGUUUAUUAGGCCUACAACUUUAAAUAAUUUUCUCAUUUCUAUGUAUAAGGUAAACUUAUGAAUUAUUGUAAACUCAAUGACGAAAGGUUGGAGAUCAACCAUUAAUUUAGGUUUAUUUAACUUUCUCAAUUAAUAGAGAAAGUGCCAAUAGACGCAUAUUUGGUAAGAGACGAAUUUGUGGUCUCGCACUAUUGGGAAAUGUGAUCUUGGCCUAUGUGGUGGUAAUCGAUUGAUAUAGCAUCAUAUAUAGGGUUUGAAUCACAACUUCAUCAUUGAAAACAAACGUUUUGUUGGCCUAGUAUUUAGUGGCAAUUAUUGUUCUUUCCUUUGAGAUUAAUUUAUGAGAUCUACUAAUUUUUUUUUGUUGGGUUUGUUGUGGAAAAAUGUAUUCUAAAAAUGAAUGAUGUGGUCCAAAAUUUUGAAUUAUUUAGAUGGACGAACACCAAUAAUUAGUCUCGACAUGCCGACCAAAAACCAUAGAAGUCCAAAGUUAGCAUUCAAUUGGAAUCUCAAUGCACUAAGUAUUAUUAUUUUACAAUUGUGUUUAGCAACAUUUUACAAUUCUUGGCAUGUUGCUAUGGUAUAUUUUGAUGGGGGAACACAUCCUCUCUAACUGUUAAAAAAAAAAUAUUUUGAUGCGGAUGGUAGCGUCCACAAGCACCCUUCGGUUGCAUUGGAAAUCUAGUCUCAUUUUCUUUUAUUUAAAAAUUAUCUUAAUCCAAAACUCCAAGUGUAAAUACAUUAUGGUACAGCAAACCAAAUAAAAAUAACAAAAAAUAUUCCACCAGACGAAUUUAUUUGGGUACUCUAGUCAUUGUGUUUCUGAAGAUAUUAGUUAAUUAUUUUUAUUUGGUGUACUAUAGUAAAAUACAUUUGUAACUUAAAUUUUAGAUAAAGAUAAUUUUUUUAAAAAAUAAAAAUAAAAUAUUUUAUGGCCAUUGUAUAUACCCUUGUUCAAACUCAACCAAUGGAAGGAUGCUUGCGUACCCUUCCAUCUAUAUAACACACCAAAUAAAAAUAAUAUAACAUAUUCUAAACAUGUCCAACACCAAAUAAAAAUAAUAUAACAUAUUCUAAAUAUGUCCAACACCAAAUAAAAAUAAUAAAGAAUAUUCUAAACAUGUCCGAAAGAUUUCUUUUGGGGGUACUCUGGUUAUUGUCUUGCUCAAAAUGUUAUUAAAUUAUUUUUAUUUGGUGUGUUGUAUUAAAAUACAUUUGCAACUCAAAUGUUAGAUAAAAUAGUUUUAAAUAAAAAAUAAAAAUAAAUUUAUUUUAUGGCCGUUGGAUAUAGCCUUGUUCAAACUAUAGUUACCGGGGAUCGUCCAACUAGGGUGGCGCUCUCCCUCCGGAAUCCAGUUCCGGCACUCCGUGGCCGGGAUCUCAACCGGAACCGUUCUAACAUAACAUUUUGAUCAUCUCGACAUCAAAAUGUCAGGACAUGAGAAAAAAAGACAUUUCAAGUUUUGGAAAUGUACGUAUUUUUUGACUGUCAAUUUCAAUAUUUUCAAGUUCUCAUAGAUCUGCUCGAUCUACAAUAUUUUUAAAACUUUAAAUUUUAUAAUUAAAAGUGAAAAUAUAUUUUAAAAUUAUCACAAGGAUUUUCAGUAUUAAAACUAUAUUUUUCGACACUAUUUGCCGGUGCGCUUUAUUUUGAUCGUUUAGAGCCCAGCGGUUUCAAUAUCACUGACUUAUCUGCAUUGUUUAGAGCCCAGCGGUUUCAAUAUCACCGACUUAUCUGCAUUGUUUAGAGCCCAGCGGUUUCAAUAUCACUGACUUAUCUGCCUCGAGAAAAGAAAAUGCGGUUGUUGGCCUACACCACAGUGGCAUCUGUUGCUUUUUAUUGUAAGGUUAAUUUAUGAGACUUAGUACUUUUCUGUUUUCUUAUCUACUGCUUUUUAUUAUUCUACCAAAAAAAAAUGAAUGAUGGGGUCCAAAAUUUUCCAUUAUUGAGAGGUAGGAGCACCAAUAAUUCGUCUUGCCAUGCACCAAAGAACAAGAAAACAAUAAUUCAUCUUGCCAUACACCACAACAGAAGACAGGACCCAUCAUCAUCGUCUCGGUUAAGAUAGACCCAUCAUGACCGCUAAAAGGCCCCAACUUUCUCGAGCUCCCCAUCGCAGAGUAUUUAGCAUUGAGCGGUGAUCGGCCAUCAUGGUUUCUGCAGUCACAUAGAUCAUAAGGUUUGAUAAAUGUUCAAUUGCUUGGCUCGGACUCGGGGCACGGGCUGGAGCAAAGUGACUUGAAAGAGUUCCAUGUACGAGACCAAAAUGGCUUAAAAUUGGGAAAAAGAGGAACUAGUUCACUUUUGCCUUGCUAAAAAGAUUGAAAAAUAAAAGAAAACUGAGCGUGAUUGAUUUUGUCAGAUGAAUAAACCAUAUACUUGUUUAGAAUGUACAUCUUACUUGAGAAAAGACAAACGCACAAGCAUCUUAUUUACACAAUUUAAUAUGUUGGAUGUUUGCUACUUAAAAUAUCAUGUCCAUUCAUGGAGAUGAAAACUUUAAAUUUAUCAAUCAUGUGAUCAAAGUAUUAUGCUUUUGUUUACUGUUAUAAUUAAGAGAACUCCACAACUAUAAUCUAAUAGGGUGUGGUUUGUAUAAUGCUGAAGCCCUAAACAGUCAAAGUAAUGCGCAACUUCAAAUAAUAUAGAAAGAUGUUAUUUCAAUACUAGAAAUAUCUGAUAUGGUCUAAAAAUUUAUUUUUAUCUCUAAUUAUUAAGUUUAAAGCUUCAAAAUUAGUUUAGAACGAGCAGAUCUACAAACACUAAACAAAUCUUAAAAUUUGACGGUUCAAAAACUGCAUUACAUGACACACUAUUUUUAAGACUUGAAAUCUAUUUUGUUUCUCAUAUCCAUAUAUUUUGAGGUCGAGAUGAUCGAGUUGAGGAUUUUUUGGCAUCGAAACAACUUCUUCUAAUGAAAUUUUGUGAUGCACCUUAAUUUGAUUAUUUAUGGCCUCACACUUUAUAUAAUCGUUUUCCAUUCUCAUAUCUUCUUGAGGGAAAAAAGUUCAUACAAGUUAGUAAACUUAUACUGUUAAAGUAAGGUGCAUCAUACGAAUCAUCUAGAAGAGAUUGGAGAAGCUUUCAAUUGAUCAUUUCGACCUCGAGAUAUGUAGAUAUUAAGAAAAAGAGAAUUUUAGUAUAAAAAAUAGUGCAUCUUGUAAGAAGCUAUCUAGACCAUCGAUUUUAGAGAUUUUCAAGUGUUCAUAGAUUUGCUCGAUCAAGUCUAUUGUUAUAAUUUUAAAUUUCAUAACUAGAAUAUCAUGUUUUUCAGGUAACCUCCCCUAUUGUGAAUUUGCGUUACCUUCAUAAUUGAUGUAUCGAGUUAAACAAUAUACUAUCAAUCCAAUAUAUUUAGGUCACCCCCUAAAAUGAACGUUGUAAACAUUGUAUCCCUAAUAUUUUUAGUAUCACACUCUAAACUCAAUCUUGCUUUUAGUCCCACUUAAAAAAUCAUUUAAAGACUAAAUACCCUUCCCCUCUCUCUUUCUCUCUCACUGUCUACCUGCCCUUUCUCCUUCUCUCUCUAUCAGCCCCUCUCUAUCCGCUUGUCCUCUCUCCCACUAUCCACCCUCUCUCUCUCUCUUUCUCUCUUUCUCCAAAAGGCUACUAUCAGUUCGACACAUUUUUGUGCCAGACCGAAUUUUUUUUUUUGCGGUCUAGCACAAAAAUGUGCUGAACCCGGUCAUAGGCUUAUGGAAAUUGAAAAGCACCAUAUGACGGUCCAGCAUAGUUUUACGUCGAACUGAAAAAAAUUUCGGUUCGGUACAAAACUGUGUCGGACAAUCCUAUGGGGCUACUAGAUUUCCAGGAGUUUGUGACCAAUCAGGCUCAAAAGUGAGCAAGACCGUCAUAUGCCAGUUUUUAAGCUAAGUCCAAAGAAAGAGAGAGAGAGGGUGGGUAGAGAGAGAGAGGGGCAUGGUAAAUAGAGUACGGGUAGAGAGAGAGGGGAAUGGUCGUUUAGCUUUUAAAUGAUUUACGUUUUGAUUAAGGGGUAAAAUCAAGAAACAAAUGUAUUUGGGUUUAGAGUGUAAUAUCAAAUAUUGAGAGAUAGAAUGGCUACCAAAUUCAUUUUGAGAGUACCAACAAUUUUCCUUUUAAAAAAUCCCAUUAUUAUUUUAUGAAUUCUUAAAGUAUAUAGAUGUGAUAUAGUACACCAAUGUUUGAGAGAGAGGUGGGCUCCAAAUAUGCUAGUCCUAAACAUUGUCCUGUGCGCGGUAGAGAGAGAGAGAGAGAGAGAGAGAUGAGAGUUGCUUCUUUAAAAAGAUUGUCAUAUUAAACAUGACAUGACGCAGCACAGAGAGAAAGAGAGAGAGAGAUUACAUUGCGAUUCAAAUAUAUUAAUCUACACCAUAUAUGGUAAUUUCAUAUUGGUCUUCAAAUAUAAGACAUUUUUACAGAGGUCUUGCACGCAGUUUUAUUUUUGUUUUAACUUUGCGCCAAAUUUUUGCAGAGGUCAUAUUUUUUAACUUUGCCUCAAAUUUUUGCAGAGGUCUUGCACCCUGUUUUAUUUAUUUUUUAAUUUUGCCUCAAGUUCGAUAUUUCAAAUAUCAGAUUAUUUUUUAUUUUUAUUUUUUAUUUUUUGAUAUUUAUAGUAAAACAUAUCGAAUAGCCACAUUUCUAGUGUGGUUUGAUAUUGGAAAUAUCGAGCUGCCCUACAUUUCAAGUCAUUCCCGUGUCUGUAGCUAUACGAUGUUAGAAACAUUGGACCACUCUGCAUUUUAGUGUAAUUUCUUUUGUUCAGUGGUAUAAUAUUUAAAACAUCAGAUUGAAUCAUAUUUGAACAAAGUUUACGUUUAUUCAAAAUAAUUUUGAGAACAAAAAAAAGUAUGAUGUUUCAAACAUUGAACUAAUAUAUGAUAUUAUUUCGAUACUUUGAACAUGAAACCCUUUUACCUAAAUUGGGGCUUAAAAGCCCCAAUCCCACCUGCAUUCUCAUUUGCACUCAGCUCUUUCUCUCCCUACUCGCACCCUCUUUUUCUCUCUACUCUCUUGCACCUCUACUCGCACCCUCUUUUUCUCUCUACUCUCUUGCACCCUCUCUCUCUCUAUAAGCCUUCUAUUUUGAUUUUUCCUCUAGUUUUCGUUGUGGAUUUCCUUUUACUAGUCGAAAGCUUAGGCGCUAGGGUUUUAGUAGCCUUCACUUCAUCGCUCAAGAAUUAAAGUUAGGAGUUUUUUUAUAAGAGUAUAGACCAAUGUUGUCAUAUCUGCUUCAAAGUCUUUUACGAUUUGAUGAGAAAAAUGAAGCAAUUCGGUGUUUCGGCUAAUUUAUGGAAAGACUUGAGAUUUUUUUUUUAAUUUAAUAUAAAUAAAUUAUAUAUUUAUAUAUAAUAUACAAAAUUAAUAGAAAAUUUUUGAAUAAAAAAAUAAAAAAUAAAAAAUAAAAAAUAUUUUUAUAUAGUUGUUUUGUUUUAUGACCGAAGCAGCCCGAAGCAUCAGCCGAAACAAACCCGAAGAGACCCGAAUAUGACCGAAGCAGCCCCGAAUCGUAUUGUACAUGAAAGCUCUAAAUCGAUGAGUUGAUUUUUGGCAAAUAAAGGAGAAAUAAAACAUGAUUAUCGGUGGGAAUGAAUUACACCAAUCCAGAUCAAGAGAAAGAAAACCUGAAAUACACACCACAAGAACACAAAGAUUUAAGUGGUUCACCUAAGAUGGCUAUAUCCACCGCACGAUAAACAUAAAUCAUUAUACCAAUGAAAAUUACAUCAAAGAUUUUAGAACAAAGCUCAACAAAAUAUCUAAAUCGAGCAAACUCAUUUAAACCACUCUCCCUUCCUUUUUUUUACUUCUGACAACUAUUACCGACAACACCAGAUAGAGACGCGAGAGUAACGAGAAACUGACUUUCUUUCUAACGAAAGGGGAAAACACCCAAAAUCUCAAUGGGAACCGCUUCUCUAUAAGUAAUAAACAAGCCUUUCAAUCUUCGAGAGUAUAAAAGAGGCAUCAUCACAAUGUUUCUCUCCAAAUGAAGCUUUAUUCUCUCUAAGAGGAAAUCUCCAAAUGAAGUUUUAUUUUCUCUAAGAGGAAAUUGAAUCUUAUUUACAGGAGACUCUAGCUCCCUUUAUCUCAAGAUGAACCAUUAUUCCCAUAUGGUAACCAAAAUAGGGCACUCAAAUUCUCUACACUUUCAUCCCAUAUAUAAGAUUAGGAUUCCAUACUAAAUAGGAAACUUCCUAUAGUUCUUACGUACAUCUCAAAACCAGGAGAUAGAUUUAAGAGUCCAAAUCUUUUUGGAUUUCUAUUUUUUUUAGAAAACUUAUCAAUAUAAACUCAUUUCCAAAAAAUAUGAGAAUAUAUCAAUCCCACAUAAUAUGGGAAUAUCUCAAUCCCACAUAAUAUAGAUCAAUCUCAAUCAAUCAUACAAAAUAUGAGAUUUCUUAAUGUGGGUGAUUUUAGAUAGCACCAAAUCUAAUCUGACCGAAACAGAAGCACCACAUUUUUCUUCGCUUCGGUUUAUGCUUAAAAACUGAAGGCUUCGGCCUAUUCAGUCGAAGAGAAAAGAAUUUGAAUACAUUGGUAUAGAUGGUAAAAUUUCAUAACACGUCAAUGUUAUUUGUUUCGAUAUCUUUUUUGUUAUUUUUUUUAAUUUAAUCUUAGAUGCAAAAGAGUUGUCCAAAUAUAAAUUUCUUUUCAUUUUUUCAAUAUAUUACUUCCAAUUUUUUGUUCAAAUUCCCUAACCCUUAACUUUGGGUGAAGGGCUAUAUUGUCGAUGUCCUGGUCAAAUUUUUUUUGGAGCACAAAAAUAUCGAUAAUCAAGCUUUUUUUUUAAGUAACUCAGUGGGAAAGACAGGCCCCUACAAGUGGGAACGGUGUUGGGGCCGUGGUGGUAGCAACACAUACGCUAGUCACUACGUUGUGGUUUUCAUUCCUACCACUAUACCACCCUACUAACACAUUCAAAAAGCUAACUCUUAAUCUACUUGAUAAUUAAUUUUUUUAGGAAAAAAAAAGCGUAUUCAAUGCAAUACUUGCAUCCCCUGAACAGAUAAAAAAAAAUGGUGCUCCCAAAAAGGAUCAAAAUAGAUGGUUGAGAAUUAUUUUUUAAAAAAGUGAUUUUUUAAUUUUUAAAAUGUAACUAUUUCGUAUAUUCCCAAAUAUAGAAAACGGAGAGAGGAGGCACAUCUACAUAUAAGUUGACCAACUUAUAUAAAUUUUGUCCACUAGAAAAAUAAUAUGUCCCUUAUUUAUGAAUGUAGUUUCUACAAGGCCAAGGCUUUACGGAAGGAAAGUAAAGCCUUUCCUCAAAUCUUCUUCCGGAAAGAACUAUUUGGGUCCUAGAUUGGGUCAGAUCUAAGUCCAUUGCCACCCUUAGUUUUGAGGUGAGGCUCCACUUGUUUUGAAAGAGUUCACAUGUCCUACAUAACAUUGAAAAACGUCUAUAUAAGAGUGAGGCUCUAAACAUUCAAAUUAAGACACACCUCAAAAAUUUCACUAGUAGAUGUUGUUUUGAUGCCAAAUAUCCUCAAAUUGACCAUCUCGACCUCAAGAUGCAUGAAUAUAGGAAAAAAUGGAUUUCAAGUUUUUGAAAUAAUUCAUUUUGUAAUGACUUUCAAUUUUCUAUAUUUUCAAGGUUUCAUAGAUCUGUUCGAUCUACACUAUUUUUGAAGCUUCAAAUUUAAUAAUUAAAAAUAAAAGUAAAUUUAAAAGCUAUCACAAAAACUUUUAGUAACGAAAUUACAUUCAUCGAUACUAUUUGAAAGUUUGCAUUACUUUUAAUUUUUAGAAACUCGAUCUUACACAAACCGCA